CGCUGCCAGUAAAGAUAGGGAUAGAGAUGUUCUCUCGGUACUCAAGCUUCUUCCAGCUGCCAUUCUCGCUUUAGCUUCUGUUCUCUCACUGUUCUCUCUCUUGAAGACCGUGAAGUUCUUGCUUAUAUGAUUACCAGGUCUCUGAAAACCACUACCAACCCAAACUCAAACAACCCUUCUUCUCUUGAUCAAGAUUCCAAGAGAAAAUCCUCCAAAAAGCCACCAAAUGCCUCCACCAACAACCUUAAUACUAAUAACCAUAAGCCUCCUGUCUUUGAUUGUGAUUGUUUU
RNAcentral lists this unclassified non-coding RNA (291 nucleotides) under Hevea brasiliensis (rubber tree). Lineage: Eukaryota; Viridiplantae; Streptophyta; Magnoliopsida; Malpighiales; Euphorbiaceae. The record is from RNAcentral.